Anser cygnoides (Swan goose) is the source of this 1686-nucleotide long non-coding RNA. Lineage: Eukaryota; Metazoa; Chordata; Aves; Anseriformes; Anatidae. The record is from Ensembl.
GAGGUUGUACUUUCGAAGACUUACCUACUGCCGCACCGAUGAAAUCAGGAGCUAGGAUGUGCCUGAGAUAUCAUGUCUCUCUGUGUUUUUGAUAGCAGUCCUCUCCUCCCAAGUGUUUCAUCACCUCACAUGAGGGAAAAAAAAGAAAAAAGAAAUAAACUGGGGUUUGGGAGGGAAGAGUGAUGCUGGUUGGGUGCUGCCACAGAAGGUUCCAGCAGUGGGUGGAGUCCUGGUAGCUUCUGAGGGCGGGAGGAGAAGAGCCCUCGGGUCUGGGCUUGGUGUCUGCCCGAGCAGUCCUCGAAAGAGAGAGGAGGUUUGUCUGCAGUCGUUCUUUAGCUAUUUUUGUUAAGAAAACCGUGGGUUUCACAGCGUGGAGUUUCUGAGGUUAGUUAGGGUGCACUGGCUAUGAGGAGGGGUGCAGCUCCUUGCAGUACCUUGUAACUGACUAUAUCGACCUCGCUGGAGUAAACUGGAAAACAAAUGUGCAGAAGUGGUUUGAGUCCUUCCCACAUGCACAUCUCAGGCCGGGUGACAGCCCACUGCACGUCUGCAGCUGGGAUCUUUCGCAUGUGGAAUCUCACAAGGCAGUCGUCGUAGGGCACCUCCAGGUAAAUGCGAAUUUUGCAUCAUCUUUAAGCUGCUCCACUGCACUGUUUGUGACGUUACUUCCCUCAACGCAGAACUAGCUGCCUCGUCAAAAAAAGGUAAAUCUAGUGCGAGUGGGUGGCACCGACAGGCUGCAGGCCCUGAGUUUGUCAUGUAAAGGAGCAUGAAGUGCCUUAGCAUGUGACUGUGAGAGUUUAUAGGGAGAUCUUGUUUGACUUGUAACUCAGAAACUUCCUGUCUUUUGGAACUUCUCCCUCAUUCCUUCUCUUGCCUUUCCCUCGAGGAAAUCUUGAAACUUAGGAAAAACUUGAGGAAAACUUGAAACUUAGAGAAGGAUUUAUUGGUAAGCUGCACCACAGCUAGUAGAAAGAAGUAAAAAAAGGGUGCUACCUGUUUUCUUUGUUCUUACAAGGGUUCUCAAGGAAAGCUUUGUGUUUUUGUUGUUUUUUUGUUGUGUUUUUUUUUGCCUGGAGAAUACUGUAGUUUACAUACAUGUACACGUGAGAAGAAAAAUGUCACUGAUAUGAUGCGAGAAUUGAUGCAGUGAUUGGCGUGGUAGAAAACCUCCUCAAACAAUAGCAAGUAAACAGUACUAUUUCACCCCUUAUUUAGAUGCCUUAUAGAGUGAACAUUACAGGGAGAAGGAACAUGCAUCUACGGUUGAGUGAAGCAAAAAGUGGUAUGUAUGUUUUACUAUUACUGGGGAUAAAACCGUUUUCAUGAUGGUAGAUCUGGCAUGAAUAUUACAUGAGCAUGCAGUGUUCUAUACUCAGAAGUAUGAGCAUACGUAAAUGUGUCCUGCAAGGUGCAGUAAUGUGUUCUGCAGUUUCCCAUCAUAAUAACUAUUUCACUCAUUUUGUUUUACUCCAUAAAUAUACUCUUUAAUAUUACUGACUUAACCUUUGGGUUUGAGCCAUUGACGUGGAGUGCAUUUUUUGUUAAUUAUUGUCUAGCAAGAUAUCAGUUAUUCCAAGGAAUAUAAUCUUCCUUACUUUGCUUCCUGCUCUGCCCUUCACAGAAGCAGAAGCCACCUCACUUGCCCUAAAGUUCUGUAUUUCUUUUGUAUUGUGCUUCCUUAAU